RNAcentral lists this ribosomal RNA (465 nucleotides) under uncultured Enterobacter sp. RNAcentral's name for it is "bacterial SSU rRNA". It matches the Rfam family "Bacterial small subunit ribosomal RNA", at positions 338 to 795 of the family's 1533-position model. The record is from RNAcentral. Lineage: Bacteria; Pseudomonadati; Pseudomonadota; Gammaproteobacteria; Enterobacterales; Enterobacteriaceae.
CCUACGGGGGGCAGCAGUGGGGAAUAUUGCACAAUGGGCGCAAGCCUGAUGCAGCCAUGCCGCGUGUAUGAAGAAGGCCUUCGGGUUGUAAAGUACUUUCAGCGGGGAGGAAGGUGUUGAGGUUAAUAACCUCAGCAAUUGACGUUACCCGCAGAAGAAGCACCGGCUAACUCCGUGCCAGCAGCCGCGGUAAUACGGAGGGUGCAAGCGUUAAUCGGAAUUACUGGGCGUAAAGCGCACGCAGGCGGUCUGUCAAGCCGGAUGUGAAAUCCCCGGGCUCAACCUGGGAACUGCAUUCGAAACUGGCAGGCUGGAGUCUUGUAGAGGGGGGUAGAAUUCCAGGUGUAGCGGUGAAAUGCGUAGAGAUCUGGAGGAAUACCGGUGGCGAAGGCGGCCCCCUGGACAAAGACUGACGCUCAGGUGCGAAAGCGUGGGGAGCAAACAGGAUUAGAUACCCCAGUAGUC